CGGCAACAGCUCAAAUUUGAAAUCUGGCCUCUUUGGGGUCCGAGUUGUAAUUUGGAGAGGAUGUUUCGGGUACGGUCCGGGCUUAAAUUUCUUGGAACAGAAUGUCACAGAGGGUGAGAAUCCCGU
Molecule: ribosomal RNA, 126 nt
Filed under: Cyphellophora gamsii
Lineage: Eukaryota; Fungi; Ascomycota; Eurotiomycetes; Chaetothyriales; Cyphellophoraceae
Description: partial large subunit ribosomal RNA
Rfam family: Eukaryotic large subunit ribosomal RNA
Source: RNAcentral